RNAcentral lists this ribosomal RNA (1489 nucleotides) under uncultured bacterium. RNAcentral describes it as "bacterial SSU rRNA". It matches the Rfam family "Bacterial small subunit ribosomal RNA". The record is from RNAcentral.
AUGGCUCAGAUUGAACGCUGGCGGCAGGCCUAACACAUGCAAGUCGAACGGUAACAGGAAGCAGCUUGCUGCUUCGCUGACGAGUGGCGGACGGGUGAGUAAUGUCUGGGAAACUGCCUGAUGGAGGGGGAUAACUACUGGAAACGGUGGCUAAUACCGCAUAACGUCGCAAGACCAAAGAGGGGGACCUUCGGGCCUCUUGCCAUCAGAUGUGCCCAGAUGGGAUUAGCUUGUUGGUGAGGUAACGGCUCACCAAGGCGACGAUCCCUAGCUGGUCUGAGAGGAUGACCAGCCACACUGGAACUGAGACACGGUCCAGACUCCUACGGGAGGCAGCAGUGGGGAAUAUUGCACAAUGGGCGCAAGCCUGAUGCAGCCAUGCCGCGUGUAUGAAGAAGGCCUUCGGGUUGUAAAGUACUUUCAGCGGGGAGGAAGGUGUUGUGGUUAAUAACCGCAGCAAUUGACGUUACCCGCAGAAGAAGCACCGGCUAACUCCGUGCCAGCAGCCGCGGUAAUACGGAGGGUGCAAGCGUUAAUCGGAAUUACUGGGCGUAAAGCGCACGCAGGCGGUCUGUCAAGUCGGAUGUGAAAUCCCCGGGCUCAACCUGGGAACUGCAUUCGAAACUGGCAGGCUUGAGUCUUGUAGAGGGGGGUAGAAUUCCAGGUGUAGCGGUGAAAUGCGUAGAGAUCUGGAGGAAUACCGGUGGCGAAGGCGGCCCCCUGGACAAAGACUGACGCUCAGGUGCGAAAGCGUGGGGAGCAAACAGGAUUAGAUGCCCUGGUAGUCCACGCCGUAAACGAUGUCUACUUGGAGGUUGUGCCCUUGAGGCGUGGCUUCCGGAGCUAACGCGUUAAGUAGACCGCCUGGGGAGUACGGCCGCAAGGUUAAAACUCAAAUGAAUUGACGGGGGCCCGCACAAGCGGUGGAGCAUGUGGCUUAAUUCGAUGCAACGCGAAGAACCUUACCUGGUCUUGACAUCCACAGAAGAAUCCAGAGAUGGAUUUGUGCCUUCGGGAACUGUGAGACAGGUGCUGCAUGGCUGUCGUCAGCUCGUGUUGUGAAAUGUUGGGUAAAGUCCCGCAACGAGCGCAACCCUUAUCCUUUGUUGCCAGCGAUUAGGUCGGGAACUCAAAGGAGACUGCCAGUGAUAAACUGGAGGAAGGUGGGGAUGACGUCAAGUCAUCAUGGCCCUUACGACCAGGGCUACACACGUGCUACAAUGGCGCAUACAAAGAGAAGCGACCUCGCGAGAGCAAGCGGACCUCAUAAAGUGCGUCGUAGUCCGGAUUGGAGUCUGCAACUCGACUCCAUGAAGUCGGAAUCGCUAGUAAUCGUGGAUCAGAAUGCCACGGUGAAUACAUUCCCGGGCCUUGUACACACCGCCCGCCACACCAUGGGAGUGGGUUGCAAAAGAAGUAGGUAGCUUAACCUUCGGGAGGGCGCUUACCACUUUGUGAUUCAUGACUGGGGUGAAGUCGUAACAAGGUA